GACGAACGCUGGCGGCGUGCUUAACACAUGCAAGUCGAACGGAAAGGCCCUGCUUUUGUGGGGUGCUCGAGUGGCGAACGGGUGAGUAACACGUGAGUAACCUGCCCUUGACUUUGGGAUAACUUCAGGAAACUGGGGCUAAUACCGGAUAGGAGCUCCUGCUGCAUGGUGGGGGUUGGAAAGUUUCGGCGGUUGGGGAUGGACUCGCGGCUUAUCAGCUUGUUGGUGGGGUAGUGGCUUACCAAGGCUUUGACGGGUAGCCGGCCUGAGAGGGUGACCGGCCACAUUGGGACUGAGAUACGGCCCAGACUCCUACGGGAGGCAGCAGUGGGGAAUAUUGCACAAUGGGCGGAAGCCUGAUGCAGCAACGCCGCGUGCGGGAUGACGGCCUUCGGGUGGUAAACCGCUUUCGCCUGUGACGAAGCGUGAGUGACGGUAAUAGGUAAAGAAGCACCGGCUAACUACGU
Molecule: ribosomal RNA, 467 nt
Filed under: uncultured bacterium
Lineage: Bacteria
Description: partial 16S ribosomal RNA
Rfam family: Bacterial small subunit ribosomal RNA
Source: RNAcentral